AUUGAACGCUGGCGGCAGGCCUAACACAUGCAAGUCGAGCGGAUGAGGGGAGCUUGCUCCCUGAUUUAGCGGCGGACGGGUGAGUAAUGCCUAGGAAUCUGCCUGGUAGUGGGGGAUAACGUUCCGAAAGGAACGCUAAUACCGCAUACGCCCUACGGGAGAAAGCAGGGGACCUUCGGGCCUUGCGCUAUCAGAUGAGCCUAGGUCGGAUUAGCUAGUUGGUGAGGUAAUGGCUCACCAAGGCGACGAUCCGUAACUGGUCUGAGAGGAUGAUCAGUCACACUGGAACUGAGACACGGUCCAGACUCCUACGGGAGGCAGCAGUGGGGAAUAUUGGACAAUGGGCGAAAGCCUGAUCCAGCCAUGCCGCGUGUGUGAAGAAGGUCUUCGGAUUGUAAAGCACUUUAAGUUGGGAGGAAGGGCUGCUGGUUAAUACCCUGCAGUUUUGACGUUACCAACAGAAUAAGCACCGGCUAACUUCGUG
Molecule: ribosomal RNA, 484 nt
Filed under: uncultured bacterium
Lineage: Bacteria
Description: partial 16S ribosomal RNA
Rfam family: Bacterial small subunit ribosomal RNA
Source: RNAcentral